GACGAACGCUGGCGGCGUGCUUAACACAUGCAAUUCGAACGGUGACGGAGAGCUUGCUCUCCUGAUCAGUGGCGAACGGAUGAGUAACACGUGGGCAACCUGCCCCAGACUUCGGGAUAACGCUACGAAACGAGUGCUAAUACCGGAUACGAACUCCUUGGGCAUCCUUGGGGUUGGAAAGUUUUUCGGGCUGGGAUGGGCCCGCGGCCUAUCAGAUUGUUGGUGAGGCAACGGCUCACCAAGGCGCCGACGGGUCGCCGGGCUGAGAGGGCGACCGGCCACACUGGGACUGAGACACGGCCCAGACUCCUACGGGAGGCAGCAGUGGGGAAUAUUGCGCAAUGGGCGAAAGCCUGACGCAGCAACGCCGCGUGAGGGAUGACGGCCUUCGGGUUGUAAACCUCUUUCAGCAGGGAAGAAGCGAAAGUGACGAUACCUGCAGAAGAAGCACCGGCUAACUACGUGCCAGCCGCCGCCGUAA
This 481-nucleotide ribosomal RNA is filed under the name uncultured bacterium. RNAcentral's name for it is "partial 16S ribosomal RNA". It matches the Rfam family "Bacterial small subunit ribosomal RNA", at positions 28 to 523 of the family's 1533-position model. The record is from RNAcentral.